GCCAGGGUCUUACUAGUUUUACUGUGAGCACUUGACUAUGUUGAUAGUAGCUACAUCACUGCCUCACCAGAGCUCUGACAAAGCAUGGCUGCCUUGCUCAUCAAGAAGUUCAACAUCUUGGUUCAAUGAUGCUGAAUGAACCCAGCCUUCCCACUAGCAAGCCAUCUCACAACUGGGUCAACUACCUCCCAACCCCCAACCAAUGUUAAUUAGCUACUAACAGGGAAAAGACUCUAAAAGGUUAUUAGAAUUCCCAAAGGUCAUGGCCAGGCAAUGAUACAAGCCUUUAAUCCUACUUAGCACCUGGAAGGCAGAGGUGUAUAUAUGCUGAGGUCAUCUUUGGUAAAGAGGUAUCUAAACAGAAGGGUCUAAUGGUUGGCUAUACACUGCCACCAGGAACUGGUGUGACAUUCUACCACCUCCAGGAAGAUGUUCAGACACUGCCAAUAAAACUCAUUUCUCGGGGCUGGAGAGAUGGCUCAGUGGUUAAUAGCACCAACUACUCUUC
Molecule: long non-coding RNA, 508 nt
Organism: Mastomys coucha (southern multimammate mouse)
Lineage: Eukaryota; Metazoa; Chordata; Mammalia; Rodentia; Muridae
Exons: 3
Source: RefSeq, a predicted model, not a curated record